AGAGUUUGAUCAUGGCUCAGAUUGAACGCUGGCGGCAUGCCUUACACAUGCAAGUCGAACGGCAGCACGGGAGCAAUCCUGGUGGCGAGUGGCGAACGGGUGAGUAAUGUAUCGGAACGUGCCCAGUCGUGGGGGAUAACGUAGCGAAAGCUACGCUAAUACCGCAUACGAUCUAUGGAUGAAAGCGGGGGAUCGCAAGACCUCGCGCGAUUGGAGCGGCCGAUAUCAGAUUAGGUAGUUGGUGAGGUAAAGGCUCACCAAGCCGACGAUCUGUAGCUGGUCUGAGAGGACGACCAGCCACACUGGGACUGAGACACGGCCCAGACUCCUACGGGAGGCAGCAGUGGGGAAUUUUGGACAAUGGGCGCAAGCCUGAUCCAGCAAUGCCGCGUGCAGGAUGAAGGCCUUCGGGUUGUAAACUGCUUUUGUACGGAGCGAAAAGGCUUCCACUAAUACUGGGGGCUCAUGACGGUACCCGUAGAAUAGCACCGGCUAACUAC
Molecule: ribosomal RNA, 500 nt
Filed under: uncultured Curvibacter sp.
Lineage: Bacteria; Pseudomonadati; Pseudomonadota; Betaproteobacteria; Burkholderiales; Comamonadaceae
Description: bacterial SSU rRNA
Rfam family: Bacterial small subunit ribosomal RNA
Source: RNAcentral